RNAcentral lists this non-coding RNA (30 nucleotides) under Rattus norvegicus (Norway rat). The record is from RNAcentral. Lineage: Eukaryota; Metazoa; Chordata; Mammalia; Rodentia; Muridae.
UUCACUUUUAUACGUUUGCUGCCUGGGUCC